UACGGAGGGGGCUAGCGUUAUUCGGAAUUACUGGGCGUAAAGCGCACGUAGGCGGCUUUGUAAGUUAGAGGUGAAAGCCCGGAGCUCAACUCCGGAAUUGCCUUUAAGACUGCAUCGCUAGAAUCAUGGAGAGGUUAGUGGAAUUCCGAGUGUAGAGGUGAAAUUCGUAGAUAUUCGGAAGAACACCAGUGGCGAAGGCGGCUCACUGGACUGGUAUUGACGCUGAGGUGCGAAAGCGUGGGGAGCAAACAGG
Molecule: ribosomal RNA, 253 nt
Filed under: uncultured bacterium
Lineage: Bacteria
Description: partial 16S ribosomal RNA
Rfam family: Bacterial small subunit ribosomal RNA
Source: RNAcentral